CCUAAUCCAGCAGGAGAGACCAGACUCAACUGUACCGAGCUGUGCGUCCAUGAAGAGUGACCAGUCUAUAGAUCCACCUACCCUUUCCAGAGAGAGAACCUCUUCUACUAAACUAAAGGCACAUCAGAAGAGACCAGUCUCACCUGCACACAGCUGUGUGUCCGUGAAGAGUGACCAGUCUAUAAAUCAUCCAAUCAUGUUCAAAGGUGGAGACUCUUCUACUAAACUACAGUAAGCGAGCAUCAAGAUCCUCGACAUAACUAGUGUAAUUGGUUAGGUAUGCAUGUCAUUCUCCAAUUAGAAACUUAUAAAAUAAUUAGUGAAAUAAAAUAAAGUGUAAAGAUUGUAUGCUCAGUGACACCACAACAUCUACUUAAGGUCGACAUAGAUAUUUAUUGUCUCUGUGUUUGUCCAGAGUUCAUCAGGAGAGAUCAGAGUCACCUGUUCCCAGCUAUGUGUCCAUGAAGAGUCACCAGUCUAUGGAUCCACCUGUAAUUUUCAGAGAAAGAGACUACUAAAACAAAGAUGGGGCAUGAAAAUGUCUCAAUUCAGUCAUUGUCACUUGUUGCUUUUUUUCAACAGACAAGUGACUCUGGUCUAUGGAUCAUCCAAUCCUCUGAGUUGGAAACAUUACUACUGGACAAAGGGUCGACCAGGAGAGACCAGACUUGGAUGUUCUUCAUGGGCAAGGAGAGGAGACCUGUCAAAUCUUCCAUGCACUACAGUCACAGAGAGCCAACACUGAGUCUUAGUCUAUGGUGGCAGCUAACUCACCUAAGGGCUCUGAACCCAGCAGCAGUGGCUCUGGUCCAAACAGCAUGCAGGAGCACUUAAGGAAGAAUAAGGACAUUUUAGGGAAGCAGCACAGUCCCAUUGAUUACCUUAGUAUGGGGAACCUGGUGCUAAAUCACUCAUAGACAACCUGAUUCUGGGUCAGGGUUUCUUACAUAGCAGAGCAGCUCACUCGCUGCAAUUUAUUGAAAUUCAGCCCUCGAUCCAAGUUUUCUUGGGGACGGAAAGUGUCUUCCUCCACCAUCCUCUAUCUUUACUUACGGGUUACCAGGUGCACGCAGAAGGGUCAGGUGCCAGAGGCCAGACACAGGGUGGAAGAGAGCCCAGGCAGGCUGGUAGAAGGCGUAAGACAUUGACAUUGGGCUCUGGAUAGGUAGGGGGCAAGGUGGUGGUCGCUCAUCCCCCCGGGCCCAUCCUUUGGUGGGACUGAGAGUCAGGUUGGGACUCGCUGUGGAAGUCAAAGGAUCACCAGGUGCACGAGGAGGCCUCCCUCAAGGCGGGGGGAACUCAGAGUCUAAGCAGGGGCAGGGGCAGGGGCUGUAGGCAGCACUCUGGCUGUGAGUGCUGUCCCCAGGUGCACAGAGCAUUUUUCGGGUGCACGUGGUGCACGUGGUUCCUGACAGCGGGACUAUAGACGUCUUAGAGUACAACUUACUCCCUGGAAUUACUAAGGCCAAGGGAGACGGGUGUUGACCGGGUAGGGAGAGUAAGUGUGGAGGCCUGGAGGUCUGUUGUUCCAAGGAGUAAGCUAUACACUCUCAGGCCCAGGGAGACGGCAGGCAGGCAGGAGGGCAGGGAGUGUAGGCCUACAGUUGUGGCCAAAAGUUUUGAAAAU
Molecule: long non-coding RNA, 1627 nt
Organism: Oncorhynchus kisutch (coho salmon)
Lineage: Eukaryota; Metazoa; Chordata; Actinopteri; Salmoniformes; Salmonidae
Exons: 3
Source: RefSeq, a predicted model, not a curated record